AAGACUAUAGACCUGCGGAGUACCUGCGGAGGGAUCAUUACCGAGUUAUACAACUCCCAAACCCACUGUGAACCUUACCUCAGUUGCCUCGGCGGGAACGCCCCGGCCGCCUGCCCCCGCGCCGGCGCCGGACCCAGGCGCCCGCCGCAGGGACCCCAAACUCUCUUGCAUUACGCCCAGCGGGCGGAAUUUCUUCUCUGAGUUGCACAAGCAAAAACAAAUGAAUCAAAACUUUUAGCA
Molecule: unclassified non-coding RNA, 240 nt
Filed under: soil metagenome
Description: partial contains 5.8S ribosomal RNA, internal transcribed spacer 2, and large subunit ribosomal RNA
Source: RNAcentral